This 380-nucleotide ribosomal RNA is filed under the name uncultured eukaryote. Its description in RNAcentral is "partial 18S ribosomal RNA". It matches the Rfam family "Eukaryotic small subunit ribosomal RNA", at positions 592 to 976 of the family's 1831-position model. The record is from RNAcentral.
CAAUAGCGUAUAUUAAAGUUGUUGCAGUUAAAAAGCUCGUAGUUGGAUUUGUGGCGUACGGUGUGUUCCGGGCACUUGUUGUCUGAGUAACCUGCUGUUGCCAUCCUUGGGGGGAACCUGUGUGGCAUUAGGUUGUCGUGCAGGGGAUGCCCAUCAUUUACUGUGAAAAAAUUAGAGUGUUCAAAGCAGGCUUAUGCCGUUGAAUAUAUUAGCAUGGAAUAAUGAGAUAGGACUUUUUUGCUAUUUUGUUGGUUUGCGCAAGAAGGUAAUGAUUAAUAGGGACAGUUGGGGGUAUUCGUAUUCCAUUGUCAGAGGUGAAAUUCUUGGAUUUUUGGAAGACGAACUACUGCGAAAGCAUUUACCAAGGAUGUUUUCAUUAA